Molecule: ribosomal RNA, 253 nt
Filed under: uncultured bacterium
Lineage: Bacteria
Description: partial 16S ribosomal RNA
Rfam family: Bacterial small subunit ribosomal RNA
Source: RNAcentral
UACAGAGGUCUCAAGCGUUGUUCGGAUUCAUUGGGCGUAAAGGGUGUGUAGGUGGCGCCGUAAGUCGGGUGUGAAAUUUCGGAGCUUAACUCUGAAACUGCAUUCGAUACUGCGGUGCUUGAGGACUGGAGAGGAGACUGGAAUUCCCGGUGUAGCGGUGAAAUGCGCAGAUAUCGGGAGGAACACCGGUGGCGAAGGCGGUUCUCUGGGCCUUACCUGACGCUGAGGAGCGAAAGCGUGGGGAGCGAACAGG